Molecule: transfer RNA, 71 nt
Filed under: Actinoplanes sp. ATCC 53533
Lineage: Bacteria; Bacillati; Actinomycetota; Actinomycetes; Micromonosporales; Micromonosporaceae
Rfam family: tRNA
About the family: Transfer RNA (tRNA) molecules are approximately 80 nucleotides in length. Their secondary structure includes four short double-helical elements and three loops (D, anti-codon, and T loops).
Source: Rfam by way of RNAcentral
UCCCUCGUAGCUCAACGGCAGAGCGGCCGGUUGUUAACCGGUCGAUACGGGUUCGACUCCUGUCGAGGGAG